GCCGGCGUGGUGGAAUGGCAGACACUGGGGACUUAAAAUCCCCUCCUCGCAAGGGGGUAUGAGUUCGAGUCUCAUCGCCGGCA
RNAcentral lists this transfer RNA (83 nucleotides) under Treponema sp. RNAcentral's name for it is "tRNA-Leu". It matches the Rfam family "tRNA". Rfam says of the family: Transfer RNA (tRNA) molecules are approximately 80 nucleotides in length. Their secondary structure includes four short double-helical elements and three loops (D, anti-codon, and T loops). Lineage: Bacteria; Pseudomonadati; Spirochaetota; Spirochaetia; Treponematales; Treponemataceae. The record is from RNAcentral.